RNAcentral lists this ribosomal RNA (548 nucleotides) under uncultured Glomus. RNAcentral's name for it is "SSU rRNA". It matches the Rfam family "Eukaryotic small subunit ribosomal RNA", at positions 548 to 1098 of the family's 1831-position model. Lineage: Eukaryota; Fungi; Glomeromycota; Glomeromycetes; Glomerales; Glomeraceae. The record is from RNAcentral.
UUGGAGGGCAAGUCUGGUGCCAGCAGCCGCGGUAAUUCCGGCUCCAAUAGCGUAUACUAAAGUUGCUGCAGUUAAAAAGCUCGUAGUUGAAUUUCGGGACCAAUAUGUCGGUCGUGCCUCGGUACGUACUGGCAUCGCUGGUUUCUCCCUUCUGACGAACCAUGAUGUCAUUCAUUUGGUGUCGUGGGGAAUCAGGACUGUUACUUUGAAAAAAUUAGAGUGUUUAAAGCAGGCUCACGCUUGAAUACAUUAGCAUGGAAUAAUGAAAUAGGACGUUUGAUUCUAUUUUGUUGGUUUCUAGGAUCGACGUAAUGAUUAAUAGGGAUAGUUGAGGGCAUUAGUAUUCAAUUGUCAGAGGUGAAAUUCUUGGAUUUAUUGAAGACUAACUACUGCGAAAGCAUUUGCCAAGGAUGUUUUCAUUAAUCAAGAACGAAAGUUAGGGGAUCGAAGACGAUCAGAUACCGUCGUAGUCUUAACCAUAAACUAUGCCGACUAGGGAUCGGAUGAUGUUAAUUUUUUAAUGACUCAUUCGGCACCUUACGGGAAAC